This 599-nucleotide ribosomal RNA is filed under the name Veillonella parvula. RNAcentral's name for it is "bacterial SSU rRNA". It matches the Rfam family "Bacterial small subunit ribosomal RNA", at positions 365 to 957 of the family's 1533-position model. The record is from RNAcentral. Lineage: Bacteria; Bacillati; Bacillota; Negativicutes; Veillonellales; Veillonellaceae.
UCCGCAAUGGACGAAAGUCUGACGGAGCAACGCCGCGUGAGUGAUGACGGCCUUCGGGUUGUAAAGCUCUGUUAAUCGGGACGAAAGGCCUUCUUGCGAACAGUUAGAAGGAUUGACGGUACCGGAAUAGAAAGCCACGGCUAACUACGUGCCAGCAGCCGCGGUAAUACGUAGGUGGCAAGCGUUGUCCGGAAUUAUUGGGCGUAAAGCGCGCGCAGGCGGAUCAGUCAGUCUGUCUUAAAAGUUCGGGGCUUAACCCCGUGAUGGGAUGGAAACUGCUGAUCUAGAGUAUCGGAGAGGAAAGUGGAAUUCCUAGUGUAGCGGUGAAAUGCGUAGAUAUUAGGAAGAACACCAGUGGCGAAGGCGACUUUCUGGACGAAAACUGACGCUGAGGCGCGAAAGCCAGGGGAGCGAACGGGAUUAGAUACCCCGGUAGUCCUGGCCGUAAACGAUGGGUACUAGGUGUAGGAGGUAUCGACCCCUUCUGUGCCGGAGUUAACGCAAUAAGUACCCGCCUGGGAGUACGACCGCAAGGUUGAAACUCAAAGGAAUUGACGGGGGCCCGCACAAGCGGCGGAGUAUGUGGUUUAAUUCGACGC